ACACAAAGUUGGGAGAAAAUUACUGUUGUUUUGUUCUGUUACACAUGAAUCUUUUGAGAAACUGAUAUUCAUACGGAUAUGUUGACAAACGUAUAGGAAAGACAAAAAUCUAAUAGUAAUCAAAGAAAAGUUGUUAGCUUCUUAUGAAUCACCAACCUGAUUGUAAUUUUGGACUCUUGAACCCUGCAUGAGCUCAUGGUGGAGAAGGCAACAAAAGUAAAACAAAAAUCCCUUAGGAUACAACACUGUCUCGGGAAUCUUUGAGGAUAGGAGAAUCCUCUCUUGUAUGAUGCAUCCAUUCAGUGGAAGGUGGACAAAUGAGUUUUCUUGUCUGGUCAUUUCAUCUCCCUAUCUUCAUUCAGACCUUGGCAGGAAACUCAGAAAAGUAAGUGGUUAGCUAUAAAUCUGCAAGAUUUCGUGCCUAGAAAUUAGAGAAAUUCAGGUAUGACAAUGGUUUGUUAUACAUCUCUAUUCUACAAAUGGAUUAGCAAAAUAAGAACUAUGAAUUUCAAGAUUAAGAAAGACAAAAAAAAGAGAUUCAAGUAAAAAUCCAAAAGAAGCUAAAAAGAUUUGGUAACAGUGGAGGUAAGUGAACAUGACGGAUAAAAAUACAAAAAAAAAAUAAAAAUCAGCUGACCAGUUCAAUCUAUAACAGCUAGCAGCCAAGCAGAAAUCAUCUCUACGUUCUUCAGAGCUUUAUUCGCUUUGGAGGACAAAACAGCCCGUGAAUUCGGCACCACUUUCCCGGAGCUGUGAUUUGCAGAGCGAUUUUUUCC
This 776-nucleotide long non-coding RNA is filed under the name Brassica rapa (field mustard). RNAcentral's name for it is "long non-coding RNA (BRAP_LNC003445)". Lineage: Eukaryota; Viridiplantae; Streptophyta; Magnoliopsida; Brassicales; Brassicaceae. The record is from RNAcentral.